ACACACUCCAUCUCAUUCUCACACAGACACACACUCCCUCUCAUUCCCACACACAGUCUCACACACACUCCAUCUCAUUCUCACACUCACACACACACUCCCUCUCAUUCCCACACACACAGUCUCAUACUCCAUCUCAUUCUCACACUCAGACACACACUCCCUCUCAUUCCCACACACACACACACACUCCCUCUCAUUCUCACACACAUCCACACACACUCACACUCUUUCUCACACACAUCCACACACACUCUCACUCUCUUUCACACACACACACACACUCCCUCUCUGACCUUCACUCAGGUCCUUCUGCUGUUUCUCCAGCUGGGACUCUAGCGACUUCAUCUUUCUUCCCACAUUGCCUCCUGCGGGAGAGGCUCGCUCAGCGUUCCCGACAGCCCCCCAGCCCCAGCCCCAGCCCCAGCCCCGCCCCAGCGCCCUCACCCUGGGUGCUCAAGCCCUUGACCUGGGCCUCCGUGCUCGCUGUGAAGUUGCUGAACGUCUCUCUCAGGCCCCGCAGCUCCUCCUGCAGCUGGGAGUCUGGCCAGGAGAGCGUGCAGAGAGAAGAAAACGGGAUCGCUGUGUCCGCCACCACUGCACCCACCACUCCCUUGCCACGGUCCCCCGUCAACACCCCCCAAUGUUGCCCCCUUCCCUGCCCACCCCUGGGGCACCCACUUUGGGAUCCGAUCACACAGACAACCACAAGCAGCAGGAGGCUGAGGCCCAGGGAGAGCAGGAGGAGGCGAGGUCCGGAGCAGAGACGCUGCAGGAGGGGCUGGGGAGGAGGUGGCCCUGCAAGAGGAGGGGGUGUCAGGAGCGCGGGGACAGAGGGGACCCUGGCACAGCUCCAGGGUCCUAGAAUGGUAGCAAGCUAAGGCGGCCCUAGUAGUCUAGGAGGAACCAUGUACAUGAAGAAAUGUGGGCGGUGGGCGACCCUGCAGGGCCAGAGGCAACUGGAAAUCGGGGAGAAAAGAGGGCUGGGGAAGGGGGCUAAGCGCUGAGCCGCCCCAUCCCACCGAGGCCCUGAGCUUUUGCUGACACCUAAUGGCAUGACUGCGUCACUGCAGCCAAUCCAGGAACCUCAGCCCACCCCCUCCUCCCGCGCCUUGAAACGCAAUUGAGUGGCCCCGCGCCUCGGAGUCGCUGCUUCCCUUGAAAGUGGGGAAAGAAGGAAGGUUUCUCUGUCCAUGAAUUCCACUCGUCUUUGGCUGCGUGCAGGGAGAGAAGGUGCAAUAGCUACCAUUCAGGCCCUCAAGUCUUCCACCCAGCAGGGGGAAGAGACACGUUAGCCCUGUCCCCUGAGAGCUGGAGGGUUGGGGGGGCCUCCCUGCCGGGUCUCCUCCGCUGCGGACCCUCCCUUCCGUCAAAGCGCGCUGCGCCCCAUCCCCCACGAACUUCAUCCUUGCUCAGCCUAAACAAUUCCCUGCUCGGAGGACAAAGAAAUGGGUCAAGGGGAAUUUGUUUUUGAAGCAAGAGAGUCUCGUUCUCCCUCAGGUCAGAGAUCCCUCAUCCCCCCCCCUCACAGAAUCCUCAGACCCUUCAUAGAAACCUUUCCCCCCUUCACCAAACUGAUCACUGACACACACACGCACACGCACGCACGACCGGGGUCCCUGGGUGGUGUUGGAAGGGGAAAGGAAGAGGGGGCCUGACUUCGUCAUAGGAAGCCGACAGUGACAUCUCUCCAGCUUCCAGCUGUUCCCACACCCCCGGGUCCACCUCCGAGGGCCAGGAGGCACAGGAAAGCUUUGGGCACCUGUCACCAAUAAAGGGACUCCAACCCCACACUCUGCCCCUCUCCUGAGAGAAGCAGCUCCGACACCUUUCCCAGUGUUGGGGGAGGGAGACAGACCCAGAGAGAGAGCCAGGCUCAUGGGCAAGAGUAGGAGCUGUGGCUGGAGGGUGGAGAACCGCCAAAUUCUCGCCUUGCAGAGGCAGGGCAAGGUGGCCCUCACCUUUUCUGAGCUGAUGGUGGUCACUCUCCUCAUUGUCCAGAUGCUGAAGGUCUUGAUACUCCUUGGUCAUGAUAGGGCUGGCGCUGGACCUGGGACUGAGUCAAGACUGAGGCUGGGGCUGAGGUGGGGGCUCACCAGGACUAGAGUGGGAAUGAGGGGCCCAUCUCUUUACUCCCAUCUGAUUGACAGCUCCAUCAUGGAGACCUUUCUUCUUUCUUUCCUUUUCUUUUUUUUUUUUUUUUUUUUGAGAGGGAGUCUCGCUCUGUCCCCAGGCUGGAGUGCAGUGGCAUGAUCUCAGCUUACUGCAACCUCUGCCUCCCGGGUUCAAGCGGUUCUCCUGCCUCAGCCUCUGAAGUAGCUGGGACAACAGGUGCACGCCACCACGCCUGGCUACUUUUUUGUAUUUUAGUAGAGACGGGGUUUCACCGUGUUGCCCAGGCUUGUCUCAAACUCCUGAGCUCAGGCAAUCCACCCACCCCAGCCUCCCAACGUGCUGGGAUUACAGGCGUGGGCCACCGCGCCCCACCGGGAUCUUUCUUCUUUCCUCCAUCCCCUUCCAGGCCUGACAUCCAGAAUCCAUCCUUGAUGUUUCCCACCCAGCACCCCCCAACACAUCCUGGGUUCCCUCCACACCCCUGCACCCCCAGCCAGCCUCCCACCACCUCUCUUCCCAUUUUACUUGCUCAGGGUCUCAGGGUCUGACUCCCAGGUUCUUCAGUGCUGUGCAGAUGCCGAACUAAGGAGGGGGGCUGAAGCUUGGAGAAUGGGGGUGGGUGGACAGCCGUGGACAAUGGGAGGGGAGCGGGCAGGGUCCAUAGGAGGGCCCUGGGCCCCGGUGUCUCUGUGUCUGCGUGUCUAUGUGUCCAAGCACGCCAAACGUGGCAUCUCCAGUGCCCGGGACUUUGGACAGUAAACAGAGGUGGAAAUGGAUUGGAACUUAGGGGAGUGUGGGGGUGGGAGUGGGGGAUGGGUUGCCUCUGCUCUGCUCCCCAGGGAGGAGAAUUGUGUUCCCCCCACACAUGCCAGUCACCUCACUCUUCCGUGCACCAUUUG
This 3014-nucleotide long non-coding RNA is filed under the name Pan troglodytes (chimpanzee). RNAcentral describes it as "long non-coding RNA NONPTRT006646". The record is from RNAcentral. Lineage: Eukaryota; Metazoa; Chordata; Mammalia; Primates; Hominidae.